RNAcentral lists this ribosomal RNA (429 nucleotides) under Pseudomonadota bacterium. Its description in RNAcentral is "Proteobacteria bacterium partial 16S ribosomal RNA". It matches the Rfam family "Bacterial small subunit ribosomal RNA", at positions 355 to 776 of the family's 1533-position model. Lineage: Bacteria; Pseudomonadati; Pseudomonadota. The record is from RNAcentral.
UGGGGAAUAUUGGACAAUGGGCGAAAGCCUGAUCCAGCCAUGCCGCGUGUGUGAAGAAGGUCUUCGGAUUGUAAAGCACUUUAAGUUGGGAGGAAGGGCAGUAAGCGAAUACCUUGCUGUUUUGACGUUACCGACAGAAUAAGCACCGGCUAACUCUGUGCCAGCAGCCGCGGUAAUACAGAGGGUGCAAGCGUUAAUCGGAAUUACUGGGCGUAAAGCGCGCGUAGGUGGUUCGUUAAGUUGAAUGUGAAAGCCCCGGGCUCAACCUGGGAAAAGCAUCCAAGACUGGCGAGCUACAGUAGGGCAGACGGUGGUGGAAUUUCCUGUGUAGCGGUGAAAUGCGUAGAUAUAGGAAGGAACACCAGUGGCGAAGGCGACCACCUGGGCUCAUACUGACACUGAGGUGCGAAAGCGUGGGGGGCAAACAGG